GAGUGGCGAAAUUGGUAGACGCACCAGAUUUAGGUUCUGGCGCCGCAAGGUGUGCGAGUUCAAGUCUCCACCAUUCACCA
Molecule: transfer RNA, 80 nt
Filed under: Escherichia coli
Lineage: Bacteria; Pseudomonadati; Pseudomonadota; Gammaproteobacteria; Enterobacterales; Enterobacteriaceae
Description: tRNA-Leu
Source: RNAcentral